ACACCUAUCUUCAAUAAAGUUGGCUAUCUGUUGAGAACAAUAACAAACAAAAAUACCUCAUCAACUUAACACUAAUUUACUGUAGCCUCCCCAUUUACUGACCAAGACAUAAAGAAAUAGCAAAGAAUAAUCCAUACCUUAGAGAUUGUAAAAGGACUCUUUGCAGCAUAUUCACAUAACUGAACAAUUUCCCUUUGAUUGGGAGAGCCGUCCUGGAAACCAAACCCAUUUUUACCUAUAAAUGAGAACAGAAAUAAGAACCACUUGUUCCUACACAGGUUAAAGAGGUCAAGCUGAGGACAUACCCAGAAGCAAUUACAAAAGAAGAAUGAGAUUAAGGAAUAAUAAUAAGGAUGAUUCUAUUUCAAAAACAAAAGGGGAUAGUGGAUGGGGUGGUCGUGAGACUAGAUCUGGGGUGACGAGGAAGAAGAGGGAGGCGGUGAGGAGGGAGAGGGAGCCGGAGAUGAGGGAAGCGGCGGCUGAAGGAAGGAUGGAGGACGUCGACAAUAGAUCCAAGCAAGUUCCCUCAUCAUCAGCAGAUUCCGAGCUUGAUAAUAAUCCUCCUAACAAAUAGAAAUCGAUCACAAAACGAAACCAAAGACAGAGAGGGAACGAAAGCCACGAUCUUUUCUGAGGCAGAGAGAGAGAGAGUAGACGGAUAAAGGGAGGAAAAAAGGAGAAGAUGUCGAGAUGCUCUGGAACUUCAGGAGGUGGCUAGCGAGAGAAAGGGUGGCUCGGUUCCAUCACUGGAUAAAAUGAGAAGCGAAGUUUUGAGAUAACUCUGGAAGCUUCAAGUGGCGACCCAGAGAAAGGAGUCAAAGGAAACUGUUCUGAAGAACAGUAACCCUCCGCUGACGUCAUCUCAACAAAUAUAUAUAUAUAUAUACUAGUUUUUGUACCCGCGCUUUGCUGCGAGAUUAUGGCUAUAUAUAGGUUGUUCCUUACUUCAAAACAAAAACUGAUCAAGUAAAAAAAGCUGAACUGAAGUUUGUAAAUCAGAUGUUUAUACAUACAAUAUGUGUAUAAACAUACAGUAAAUGUUUAUACAUACAGUAAGUGCAACACUAUUCAAAAGCUGAAGUUUGUGAAUCAAAUGUUUAUACAUACAGUAUGUGCAACAUUGUCCAAAAGCUGAUGCUAUGUUCAGCAAGGGUUGCGGCUGCAGUUGGAAGUGAAGCUGAGUAUGGAGUUCAUUCAAAAAAGCAGCUAAUAAGGAGAAAGUUGAAAGAAUAAAGGAUAAGUUUAUAAGACAAAGAAUGAUAAGGAGAAAGAUGUAUUACGACGGUGCACUAUGUUGCAGUCAUACAAUACAGUACCCCUCCUUCAGCGUAUGUAAAGGAUAAAAGAAAAAUUAAAUUAGUAAGAAAUAAGAAGAAUUAAGACAGAUUGUUAGAGAUGGGGACCUGCAAAAUUAAGACAGUAGUGGGACAUUGAGAUCAGUAAGAAGAUCAAUUGAUUAACAGGGAUCAAAAGUACACUUUUUUUUUAUUGUCCAGUAGAAUUUAAUAAGCCUAUAAAAUUACAUAAAAUUAUAGUUCGUCCAAUAUUAAAUUUCUCGCAUGAUUAAGUAGGCUAAGAGGCUGUGAAUAUCAAUUUGAAAUAAUACUCAGAACCAAUAUAUUUUCUUACAACAUGUCAACUAAGUUGAUGUACAUAAACAUAGCCAUGCAUCUAGUCAAACCAAAUGCAAAAAUUAGCAGUUCAAAUCAAAUACGAAUACUUCAACUGAUAGUUCACCUUCCAAAACUUACAUUCAAACCAACAAACGAAAACCUGUUGAAGUAAAAGUAUUAGCACUUUCAGUAGUUCGAUAAAAUAAAGCUAAAAUGCAGCAACACAGUUAAAAAAAUGCAUCCUUGAAUCUAAUCAAAGCAACAACUGAGCUUUACCUAAGAAGAAAAGUUAUCCAUACUUCUAAAAUCAAAGUCUUUUGCUUCGAGUAUCACAACCUGUCCAAGAACAUUCACUUUUGCAGAUAUGCAUUUACUUCCUCCACAUAUUAAUUUUCCUAAUCAAAGCAUGUAGUCUUCUUUAUAUGCAGCACUUGUUGUAAG
This 2054-nucleotide long non-coding RNA is filed under the name Fragaria vesca (wild strawberry). RNAcentral describes it as "long non-coding RNA (FVES_LNC004801)". Lineage: Eukaryota; Viridiplantae; Streptophyta; Magnoliopsida; Rosales; Rosaceae. The record is from RNAcentral.